Molecule: ribosomal RNA, 430 nt
Filed under: Bacillus subtilis
Lineage: Bacteria; Bacillati; Bacillota; Bacilli; Caryophanales; Bacillaceae
Description: bacterial SSU rRNA
Rfam family: Bacterial small subunit ribosomal RNA
Source: RNAcentral
AGCAUGUGGUUUAAUUCGAAGCAACGCGAAGAACCUUACCAGGUCUUGACAUCCUCUGACAAUCCUAGAGAUAGGACGUCCCCUUCGGGGGCAGAGUGACAGGUGGUGCAUGGUUGUCGUCAGCUCGUGUCGUGAGAUGUUGGGUUAAGUCCCGCAACGAGCGCAACCCUUGAUCUUAGUUGCCAGCAUUCAGUUGGGCACUCUAAGGUGACUGCCGGUGACAAACCGGAGGAAGGUGGGGAUGACGUCAAAUCAUCAUGCCCCUUAUGACCUGGGCUACACACGUGCUACAAUGGACAGAACAAAGGGCAGCGAAACCGCGAGGUUAAGCCAAUCCCACAAAUCUGUUCUCAGUUCGGAUCGCAGUCUGCAACUCGACUGCGUGAAGCUGGAAUCGCUAGUAAUCGCGGAUCAGCAUGCCGCGGUGAAU